AAAUUGUCACAUGACCAGAGCUGUUUACUUCCUGGUUGCACCAUGAUAAGACGAUGGCUGCAUGAAAGCUCCCAAACAAAAGUUUCACUUUGAGUCAAGUUAUGGAUAUGUUGGAUCUAGGUUACUGCCCAGACAAGCGAUGGGUCAGAUAUGGAUUAUGAGGGGGAGACAGGCCAUUUGCCAGCCAGGCUGUUGAAUGUAUAUGCUGAACCUAUGCAAACUGAUCAUGGCAGGAACAACAUUAUCAGUGAUGAUGACCUACCCCUCACCACGCCACAAUCUCCUUCCUGAGACUGGGUUGGGUCAUGGACCCAGUGUCGUUCUUGGUGUUGCAGAGCAAUCUCAGGUGCCUCAAGGUUGCAAGAUCCUUCAUGACAACCUCUUCACUUCGCUUGCUCUCCUCGAUGAAAUGACAAAAAGAGGAUAUGGGAGCUCUGGAACGAUGAGGCAAAAUCGUCUGUUUGACGUCCCAUUCAAGCCACAGAAGGACUUCAUGAAGUUACCCCGGGGAACCUCUGAGGUUCUGACCCAAGGAGACAAGGUGCUGGUCCGUUAGAAAGACAAUACCAUUGUCACAGUGGCAACAAACAUGGAGGAGAAAUACAGUGAGACCUCUGUCAAGAGAUAGAACAAGGAGCGACGUGCCUUUUGACAAAGUCCCACAACCAAAAUGCAUCAACCGAUACAAUGAGCACAUGGGUGGUGUUGAACUUCACAACCUACAGGUUUCAAGAUACCAUAUUUCCAUCAGGUCUAAGAAGUGGUGGUGGCCCAUCUUUGCAUGGUCUCUCAACAGUGCACUCGUAAACAGCCAUUUAUUUUACGGGAGGGACCAUCAAUCUGCUCACCUUCUCAUGGAUAGUGACACAGUCUCUUAUGCAAAUGUUUGGCACGAAACCACUGAGCCAUGGAAGGAGAUCUCUACUGGCUGCUACUGUUGAAGAUCAGGCAAGAUAUGACAAAGCUUCUCACUGGCCAAUCAAGACGAUGCACCGGUUCCACAGAUGUCGUCAUUGUGACAAACGCACACCUAUGCAUGUGAGAAAUGCAAAGCGCCACUUCACAUUGAGUGCUUCAAGAUAUACCAUGGACAGCAGAUAAGGAGAUAAGAGAGAAUUAAAAAGGGCUGAAAAAGACAAUAAAAGAAAAAUAGAAAAGUCAAUAAAGUGUGAGGAGAAGCAGUACAACAGACUCUAGGAAGAAAAGAAAGUCAAAGUGUGAGGAGAAGCAGUACAACGGACUCUAGGAAGAAAAGAAAGCCAAAGAGUGAGGAGAAGCAGUACAACGGACUCUAGGAAGGAAAGAAAGCCAAAGAGUGAGGAGAAGCAGUACAACGGACUCUAUGAAGAAAAGAAAAGUCAAAGUGUGAGGAGAAGCAGUACAACGGACUCUAGGAAGAAAAGAAAGUCAAAGUGUGAGGAGAAGCAGUACAACGGACUCUAGGAAGAAAGGAAAGUCAAAGAGUGAGGAGAAGCAGUACAAC
Molecule: long non-coding RNA, 1483 nt
Organism: Oncorhynchus keta (chum salmon)
Lineage: Eukaryota; Metazoa; Chordata; Actinopteri; Salmoniformes; Salmonidae
Exons: 2
Source: RefSeq, a predicted model, not a curated record